This 404-nucleotide ribosomal RNA is filed under the name Actinomycetes bacterium. RNAcentral's name for it is "Actinobacteria bacterium partial 16S ribosomal RNA". It matches the Rfam family "Bacterial small subunit ribosomal RNA", at positions 355 to 776 of the family's 1533-position model. Lineage: Bacteria; Bacillati; Actinomycetota; Actinomycetes. The record is from RNAcentral.
UGGGGAAUAUUGGACAAUGGGCGCAAGCCUGAUCCAGCCAUGCCGCGUGAGUGAUGAAGGCCCUAGGGUUGUAAAGCUCUUUCACCGGUGAAGAUAAUGACGGUAACCGGAGAAGAAGCCCCGGCUAACUUCGUGCCAGCAGCCGCGGUAAUACGAAGGGGGCUAGCGUUGUUCGGAUUUACUGGGCGUAAAGCGCACGUAGGCGGACUAUUAAGUCAGGGGUGAAAUCCCGGGGCUCAACCCCGGAACUGCCUUUGAUACUGGUAGUCUUGAGUUCGAGAGAGGUGAGUGGAAUUCCGAGUGUAGAGGUGAAAUUCGUAGAUAUUCGGAGGAACACCAGUGGCGAAGGCGGCUCACUGGCUCGAUACUGUCGCUGAGGUGCGAAAGCGUGGGGAGCAAACAGG